AGAGGCCGCUGCUAUCCGGCUGGGACUAAGCCAUGCGAGUCACGGGGUCUGCACCACUCUGCGGUGCAGGCACCGGCGGACGGCUCAGUAACACGUGGCCAACCUACCCUCGGGAGGGGGAUAACCCCGGGAAACUGGGGCUAAACCCCCAUAGGGGAUGGGUGGUGGAAUUCCCCCAUCCCCGAAAGUGUGCGGUUGCCGUAAGGCGCCGCACAGCCCGAGGAUGGGGCUGCGGCGGAUUAGGUAGUUGGCGGGGUAACGGCCCGCCAAGCCGAAGAUCCGUACGGGCCAUGAGAGUGGGGGCCCGGAGAUGGCCCCUGAGACAAGGGGCCAGGCCCUACGGGGCGCAGCAGGCGCGAAACCUCCGCAAUGCGGGAAACCGCGACGGGGUCAGCCGGAGUGCCCCUGCAUAGCAGGGGCUGUCGGGGAGCCUAAAAAGCUCCCCAUAGC
This 450-nucleotide ribosomal RNA is filed under the name uncultured euryarchaeote. Its description in RNAcentral is "bacterial SSU rRNA". It matches the Rfam family "Archaeal small subunit ribosomal RNA", at positions 19 to 437 of the family's 1478-position model. Lineage: Archaea; Methanobacteriati; Methanobacteriota. The record is from RNAcentral.